AAGGGUUUGAUCCUGGCUCAGAAUGAACGCUUGCGAUGGGCCUAACACAUGCAAGUCGAACGUGUGUUUGUUUUAUUUCUUGUCUUGUUUUUUUACUUUUUCUUUUUUACAAAGUAAAAAAACAAGACAAGAAAUAAAACAAACACAAGUGGCAAACGGGUGAGUAAAGCGCGAGAACUUACCUGUCAGUCCGACCCAAGGUUUCUUCUGCUUUUUGUUUUUUUUUUUUUUAAGAAACGAAAAGCAAAAGGCUGAAUGGCGGAUAGUUUUUCAACUCUCUCUUCUAGUCUAUUUCUUUUUAACCCACAAAACAUUGAUGCCUACGGCAUUGUUGGUGCAGGCCAUUGGAAUUGUUUCUUUCUCCUCCUCUUUUUGCUCUACUCCAUUGAAAGAAGAAUAAAAAAGAAAAAACAAGAAAAAGAGAUAGCAGAGAGAGCGACAAGAGAAUCAAAAAAGAUUUUUGCUGGCAGAUGGGCUCGGGUGGGAUCAGGUAGUUGGUGAGGUAAAAGCUACACCAAGCCUAUGACCCCUAGCUGGUCUGAAAGGACGAUCAGCCACACCGGGACUGAGACACGGCCCGGACACCUACGGGUGGCAGCAGUGGGGAAUCUUGGGCAAUGGG
RNAcentral lists this ribosomal RNA (622 nucleotides) under Rickettsiaceae bacterium. RNAcentral describes it as "partial 16S ribosomal RNA". It matches the Rfam family "Bacterial small subunit ribosomal RNA", at positions 1 to 375 of the family's 1533-position model. Lineage: Bacteria; Pseudomonadati; Pseudomonadota; Alphaproteobacteria; Rickettsiales; Rickettsiaceae. The record is from RNAcentral.